This 560-nucleotide ribosomal RNA is filed under the name Williopsis jadinii. Its description in RNAcentral is "Cyberlindnera jadinii partial large subunit ribosomal RNA". It matches the Rfam family "Eukaryotic large subunit ribosomal RNA", at positions 88 to 657 of the family's 3401-position model. Lineage: Eukaryota; Fungi; Ascomycota; Saccharomycetes; Phaffomycetales; Wickerhamomycetaceae. The record is from RNAcentral.
GGCGAGUGAAGCGGCAAAAGCUCAAAUUUGAAAUCUGAGGCUUUCAGCCCCCGAGUUGUAAUUUGAAGAUGGUGUUCUGGUGCCGGCCCCCUGUCUACGUUCCUUGGAACAGGACAUCACAGAGGGUGAGAAUCCCGUCUGGCGGGGCGGCCUGGCUCCGUGUAGAGCGCCAUCGACGAGUCGAGUUGUUUGGGAAUGCAGCUCUAAGUGGGUGGUAAAUUCCAUCUAAAGCUAAAUAUUGGCGAGAGACCGAUAGCGAACAAGUACAGUGAUGGAAAGAUGAAAAGAACUUUGAAAAGAGAGUGAAAAAGUACGUGAAAUUGUUGAAAGGGAAGGGUAUUGGAUCAGACUUGGUGCUGUGCGAAUAGCGGCCCUUCUUGGGCUGCCCACUCGCACUCCACCGGGCCAGCAUCGGUUUGGGCGGCAAGACAAUGGCGGGGGAACGUGGCACUGCUCUCGGGCAGUGUGUUUAUAGCCCCCGCUGAUGUUGCCUGCCUAGACCGAGGACUGCGGCUUCUGCCUAGGAUGCUGGCGUAAUGAUCCAACACCGCCCGUCUUGA